Long non-coding RNA from Microplitis mediator, 1091 nucleotides. RefSeq lists it as uncharacterized. The transcript is spliced from 3 exons. Lineage: Eukaryota; Metazoa; Arthropoda; Insecta; Hymenoptera; Braconidae. The record is from RefSeq and is a predicted model, not a curated record.
CCCGUGGAGGUUAAUCUCUACCUUUUUAUUUUUUACUCGUGUUUUUAUUAUUUUUUUUUCUUUUUUAUUAUCACCAUCUCCGUCUGAUUAAUUUAAUCUACGCUACAUUUUCAAAUCCAGAGUGGAAAAAAAAACAUACAUAUACAUAUAUAUAUGAAAUGACGAGAUGCCCGGUGAAUAUACUAUUCAAAUGAACCAGGCGAUUAUACAAUUAAAUGUUUUAUUAUAUAUGUUGGAUCGAAAUUGACCUGAAAAAUAUGCGGAUGCUAUAAAUAUAAAAGUUCAUCGUAUAUUAAGGGAGCAUACAUGAUACCGGGAUAUAUUUGUGGAUAUUUGGGAAAGCAAGAUUUGUUAUAUAUGUAGGAGUAUAAGUAAAUAUUUGAGUGGCCUGUAAGGUCAUUGGACUAGGAUAAAUAGCCAUCUGCCAUCUAUUCGCAAAACUACUAGCCUGAUCCUGCAAGGACGCUCUAUCACGUGGUUCCAAAUUACCGGGGAAGAUGCGUGACGGAUAUUUAAUGAACGAAAUUUUGGGUUAUACCUUGUAAUAGGAGCACCAUGACAACCAUUAUAUCAGAAGAGAGUCAAGAGUAAAGAGCAAGAGAGAAAGCUCAAGUAUUUUAUCCUUCGGACGAAUCUGCUUGCCUAAUACAAACCUGGUCGUAGUUCGGCGUUCCCAAUUGACGAGUUAUUGACAGCCGAUCGAAUAUUCACUGGAAGAGUAUAUCUGAUGAGCGUCAAGCAAAAAUCCUUUUGGAAUUAAUUGGUUUCGCGGAUUAUACUGGUUAAGCUAUCGUGUAUAUAUGUAUGGACAAUUUAUAAGAAAAUAUAUUGGGGGUUGCAACCAAAUGGCGCUCAUACGACAUCAGGAACUUAUUAGUUCGCAGGAAGUCUAUUUCCGGGUACCGUGCCCAGGUAUCAGGACUUUAUUUAUACAUGAGUGUGCUCCAAUUGUUAUUAUAUUAGGUCUACCUAGUGGCUGAGAUCAAUGAACAUCAGCCUCUUGCUCAACCAGAGAUGAAUUAUAAACAAUUGAUGUGAUCCUGGUAGUUACAAAGAGCUAUGAAAUGCCGUAAAAGGAAGGAGGUGACAGG